UAUAACUGGAGAGUUUGAUUCUGGCUCAGAAUGAACGCUGGCGGCGUGCUUAACACAUGCAAGUCGAACGAGAAAGUUCCUGCUUGCAGGAACGAGUAGAGUGGCGCACGGGUGAGUAACACGUGGAUAAUCUACCUUCAAAUCGGGAAUAACCAUUCGAAAGGAUGGCUAAUGCCGGAUAAAGUCAGAUAUUCUUUGGGAUUUUUGAUGAAAGGGAGCCUCUGAUAUAAGCUUUUGUUUGAAGAUGAGUCCGCGCACCAUUAGUUUGUUGGUGGGGUAACGGCCUACCAAGACUGUGAUGGUUAGCUGGUCUGAGAGGAUGAUCAGCCACACUGGAACUGACACACGGUCCAGACUCCUACGGGAGGCAGCAGUGAGGAAUUUUGCGCAAUGGGGGAAACCCUGACGCAGCAACGCCGCGUGAGUGAAGAAGGCCCUUGGGUCGUAAAGCUCUGUCAACAGGGAAGAAAUUAUUAUGCUUUAAUAGAGUGUAGUAUUGACGGUACCUGUGAAGGAAGCACCGGCUAACUCCGUGCCAGCAGCCGCGGUAAUACGGGGGGUGCAAGCGUUAUUCGGAAUUAUUGGGCGUAAAGGGCACGCAGGCGGUCCUGUCAGUCAGAUGUGAAAGCCCGGGGCUCAACCCCGGACGUGCAUUUGAAACAGCAGGACUUGAGUACGGGAGAGGAAAGGGGAAUUCCUGGUGUAGAGGUGAAAUUCGUAGAUAUCAGGAGGAACACCGGUGGCGAAGGCGCCUUUCUGGACCGAUACUGACGCUGAGGUGCGAAGGCGUGGGUAGCGAACGGGAUUAGAUACCCCGGUAGUCCACGCAGUAAACGUUGUAUGCUAGGUGUAGCGGGUAUUGACCCCUGCUGUGCCGCAGUUAACACAUUAAGCAUACCGCCUGGGGAGUACGGUCGCAAGACUAAAACUCAAAGAAAUUGACGGGGGCCCGCACAAGCGGUGGAGCAUGUGGUUUAAUUCGACGCAACGCGAAGAACCUUACCCAGACUUGACAUCUUGAGAAUCCUUUAGAAAUUUAGGAGUGCCUUCGGGAGCUCAAAGACAGGUGCUGCAUGGCUGUCGUCAGCUCGUGUCGUGAGAUGUUUGGUUAAGUCCAGCAACGAGCGCAACCCUUGUCUUCAGUUGCCAGCACAUAAUGGUGGGAACUCUGAAGAGACUGCCCCGGUUAACGGGGAGGAAGGUGGGGAUGACGUCAAGUCCUCAUGGCCCUUAUGUCUGGGGCUACACACGUGCUACAAUGGUAUGUACAACGGGCAGCAAGGCAGCGAUGCCAAGCAAAUCCCUUAAAGCAUAUCCCAGUCCGGAUUGGAGUCUGCAACUCGACUCCAUGAAGUUGGAAUCGCUAGUAAUCGUGGAUCAGCAUGCCACGGUGAAUACGUUCCCGGGCCUUGUACACACCGCCCGUCACACCAUGAGAGUUGAUUGUACCCGACGUCACUGGGCCAACCCUUCGGGGGGGCAGGUGCCUAAGGUAUGGUUGAUAAUUAGGGUGAAGUCGUAACAAGGUAGCCGUUGGGGAACCAGCGGCUGGAUCACCUCCUUUCU
RNAcentral lists this ribosomal RNA (1566 nucleotides) under Desulfocicer vacuolatum DSM 3385. RNAcentral's name for it is "bacterial SSU rRNA". It matches the Rfam family "Bacterial small subunit ribosomal RNA". Lineage: Bacteria; Pseudomonadati; Thermodesulfobacteriota; Desulfobacteria; Desulfobacterales; Desulfobacteraceae. The record is from RNAcentral.